This 234-nucleotide unclassified non-coding RNA is filed under the name plant metagenome. RNAcentral's name for it is "partial contains small subunit ribosomal RNA, internal transcribed spacer 1, and 5.8S ribosomal RNA". The record is from RNAcentral.
UUUCCGUAGGUGAACCAGCGGAAGGAUCAUUAAUGUGUUUUGGCCUCACGGCUCUUCAUUCCAACGCUGUGCGCCUUCGGGCUGCACACUGAGGGAGUAUAUAUCCACCCCUGUGCACACACACGGUGGCGAGCUGGGUAACGGCUCGCCGCUGAUCUUUACACACGUCUAAAAGUCAUUGUAUGCGUAUUUGAGAUAAAAACACAACUUUCAGCAACGGAUCUCUUGGCUCUC